Molecule: ribosomal RNA, 88 nt
Filed under: uncultured bacterium
Lineage: Bacteria
Description: partial 16S ribosomal RNA
Source: RNAcentral
CCAUGGAAGCUGUGAGCGCCCGAAGUCCGUGUCGCAACCUGGGCAAACCAGGGGCAAGCGGCCGAAGGCGAGCGCAGUGACUGGGGCG